GUCCGCGUAGCUCAGAGGAUAGAGCGCUUGACUUCUAAUCAAGCGGCCGCGGGUUCGAUCCCCGUCGUGGACA
Molecule: transfer RNA, 73 nt
Filed under: Micromonas commoda
Lineage: Eukaryota; Viridiplantae; Chlorophyta; Mamiellophyceae; Mamiellales; Mamiellaceae
Also listed under: 1 other name
Description: tRNA-Arg (TCT) (tRNA-Arg-TCT-1-1)
Rfam family: tRNA
About the family: Transfer RNA (tRNA) molecules are approximately 80 nucleotides in length. Their secondary structure includes four short double-helical elements and three loops (D, anti-codon, and T loops).
Source: Rfam by way of RNAcentral